Molecule: ribosomal RNA, 712 nt
Filed under: Pseudomonas sp.
Lineage: Bacteria; Pseudomonadati; Pseudomonadota; Gammaproteobacteria; Pseudomonadales; Pseudomonadaceae
Description: bacterial SSU rRNA
Rfam family: Bacterial small subunit ribosomal RNA
Source: RNAcentral
GACGGGUGAGCUAAUGCCUANGAAUCUGCCUGGUAGUGGGGGAUAACNUUCGGAAACGGACGCUAAUACCGCAUACGUCCUACGGGAGAAAGCAGGGGACCUUCGGGCCUUGCGCUAUCAGAUGAGCCUAGGUCNGAUUAGCUAGUUGGUGAGGUAAUGGCUCACCAAGGCGACGAUCCGUAACUGGUCUGAGAGGAUGAUCAGUCACACUGGAACUGAGACACGGUCCAGACUCCUACGGGAGGCAGCAGUGGGGAAUAUUGGACAAUGGGCGAAAGCCUGAUCCAGCCAUGCCGCGUGUGUGAAGAAGGUCUUCGGAUUGUAAAGCACUUUAAGUUGGGAGGAAGGGCAGUUACCUAAUACGUGAUUGUUUUGACGUUACCGACAGAAUAAGCACCGGCUAACUCUGUGCCAGCAGCCGCGGUAAUACAGAGGGUGCAAGCGUUAAUCGGAAUUACUGGGCGUAAAGCGCGCGUAGGUGGUUUGUUAAGUUGGAUGUGAAAUCCCCGGGCUCAACCUGGGAACUGCAUUCAAAACUGACUGACUAGAGUAUGGUAGAGGGUGGUGGAAUUUCCUGUGUAGCGGUGAAAUGCGUAGAUAUAGGAAGGAACACCAGUGGCGAAGGCGACCACCUGGACUGAUACUGACACUGAGGUGCGAAAGCGUGGGGAGCAACAGGAUUANAUACCCUGGUAGUCCACGCCGUAAACGA